Molecule: long non-coding RNA, 1392 nt
Filed under: Chinchilla lanigera (long-tailed chinchilla)
Lineage: Eukaryota; Metazoa; Chordata; Mammalia; Rodentia; Chinchillidae
Description: lncRNA (ENSCLAG00000027687.1)
Source: RNAcentral
GUGAGGCAGGGGAGAGAGGGGCUGAUAGCUGGCUGGAGACCCAGCAAGGCUUUCUGCACUGUCCCGCCCAGCUCUCAGGGAAACUGACUGAGGUUGGGACCCUGGUCAGUAUGAAACAGAACUCGGGGGGCUGAGCGUUCUUGUUGACACAGCUUUUGGGAACCUCAGCCAAUGGCUGGCCACUGGCGUUAGGGGCCAUCUAAGAGAGGCAAGGGAACCCUGACAUAUUGAUAAUUCCUGAGGGAGAAUUUGUCCAGUGGGCCCCCUUUCCUGAAUUCCCACUUUGUACCUUGUCACCCCCAAGAAUUUUUUUCCUCCUGCUUGGAAGGUUGUGUAGAACUAAUGCAGCACAUCGGAAUGUCGUCUUUGAUACAGAUUCCCCCAACUUUAAUUUUUCCUGUAUAAUUUUCCUAUCUAUGAAGUACCUACCUAUUAUUUACUUACUAGUUCCUUAAAAUGGACUCAUAAUAUGAACACUUGCUUUAGUUUCAUACUAAGCCAUAAAUAUGCACAGUCGUCUUUUGUGUGUUUUCUUUCUAGUUCAUAGCGCAAUAAAUGAGUAACAGAAUAUUUUCAGGAGUGUCCCUCCAUGAACUACCUCAGAUCAUCUUGGGUGCCACUCGUGGUACUUGGCCCGCGUUUUGGAGGCUCGGGCGGCGGAGGGAAGCUUCCUCCGCGCAGAGGGCGGGGCCGGGGCAUCUGCACGGAGCUGCGGCGCUCUCCGCUCCAGCCCCAUGGGUGGCCUCCAUCUUGGUUUGGGCUCCAUCUCAGCACGGCCAUCUGCUCUGAGUGAGCAGCCUUUUGUGAAAAGCUGUGGGGGGAUCAGCCUGGCUGAUUGGCUGGAGUGGUGCCCAGAAUGCCCAGAUGUACAUUUGCCCCAAAAGAGGGAGCACAGCUGGGGUUCACUGUCUCCCUGGAGGUUUGCUUUUCCUGGGGAAGCUCAGCCCAGCCUCCCACACUCCUGCCGCACAUUCUGCUGCGCUUGGCGGCGAGGAAAGGGCCCAGAGCGGCCCUCCGAGCUCCCUUACCGCCGGCUGCCUGCCAUUUGCCGCCACUGGGGACCUGAGAUUGCUUCCAUGGAAACAGAACUCGGGAUUGUUUUUCCAGAAACGUCUCAAUCUAAUUUGUGUGGAGCUGGGUUGUGUGUGCUCGCAUGUUUGUGUGUCUCUGUGCAGUGUGUUUCAGCUGCAGAAGGGGGGAGGGCGAGAAGUGAGGAGAGAAUUUGCACAGACCUCCAUUUUCCCUGAUGCCCAGAAAGUUGAAGAUUUCAGCAAUCCUGCAAGGGAACUACGGCUGUUAUUGUGGGACUGGGCUCAUAAUGAUGGGUGUGGCACUGUUAUGCAAACGAGUUCUCUGCAGGAAACAGCCAUAACUUGCGUGAUCAUAUGCUGA